GAUGAACGCUGGCGGCGUGCUUAACACAUGCAAGUCGAACGUGAGGGUGUAGCAAUAUGCCUGAAAGUGGCGAACGGGUGAGUAACACGUGGAUAACCUGCCCUGGAGUGGGGGAUAACCAUUGGAAACGGUGGCUAAUACCGCAUAGAGCUAUUGAUUUGGGAGAAUCGAUAGGGAAAGCUCCGGCGCUCUGGGAGGGGUCUGCGUCCGAUUAGCUAGUUGGUGAGGUAAAGGCUCACCAAGGCGACGAUCGGUAGCUGGUCUGAGAGGACGAUCAGCCACACGGGAACUGAGACACGGUCCCGACUCCUACGGGGGCAGCAGUGAGGAAUAUUGGGCAAUGGGCGAGAGCCUGACCCAGCAACGCCGCGUGGAGGAAGACGGCCUUCGGUGUAAACUGCUUUAUAUGGUAGCAAUAAGGUUACGUAGUAGACCGAUGAGAGUACCAUAUGAAUAAGACAUACGGCUAACUCCGUCGCCAGCAGCCGCGGU
Molecule: ribosomal RNA, 492 nt
Filed under: uncultured bacterium
Lineage: Bacteria
Description: bacterial SSU rRNA
Rfam family: Bacterial small subunit ribosomal RNA
Source: RNAcentral